GACGAACGCUGGCGGCGUGCUUAACACAUGCAAGUCGAACGGAAAGACCCUGCUUUUGUGGGGUGCUCGAGUGGCGAACGGGUGAGUAACACGUGAGUAACCUGCCCUUGACUUUGGGAUAACUUCAGGAAACUGGGGCUAAUACCGGAUAGGAGCUCCUGCUGCAUGGUGGGGGUUGGAAAGUUUCGGCGGUUGGGGAUGGACUCGCGGCUUAUCAGCUUGUUGGUGGGGUAGUGGCUUACCAAGGCUUUGACGGGUAGCCGGCCUGAGAGGGUGACCGGCAACAUUGGGACUGAGAUACGGCCCAGACUCCUACGGGAGGCAGCAGUGGGGAAUAUUGCACAAUGGGCGGAAGCCUGAUGCAGCAAGGCCGCGGGCGGGAUGACGGCCUUCGGGUUGUAAACCGCUUUCGCCUGUGACGAAGCGUGAGUGACGGUAAUGGGUAAAGAAGCACCGGCUAACUACGUG
This 468-nucleotide ribosomal RNA is filed under the name uncultured bacterium. Its description in RNAcentral is "partial 16S ribosomal RNA". It matches the Rfam family "Bacterial small subunit ribosomal RNA", at positions 28 to 507 of the family's 1533-position model. The record is from RNAcentral.